Molecule: long non-coding RNA, 1158 nt
Organism: Plodia interpunctella (Indianmeal moth)
Lineage: Eukaryota; Metazoa; Arthropoda; Insecta; Lepidoptera; Pyralidae
Exons: 5
Source: RefSeq, a predicted model, not a curated record
GUCAGCUAGUAUGAAUUUUGACAGAGUAUUGUAAUGUCUUAAAUUUUGUGUAAAAUUUUGUUCUAUCGCGACAAAAAUUAUGUGUGUUCGGAUCAAAGAAGUUUAAUUCAAGGCAAGACAGGUCCGAGAUAGGAGAAAUUAGCCUCAGUUUGGAGGAAUUGAUUUUUUGCUGAUGUGUGGAGGAUCAUAAGCUGCCUUCACUUUGAGAAUCGCUGACGUGGAGACACGUUGCAACGAAUCCAAUUAGAAGAUGAUUUGCCUGUCCCUUUACGCCUUGAUCGCAACCGCUUCAAUUCUGUCCUGUGUUCCAGUCUGCUACCGCCAACUGGGCUUGAACAAAUUCUUCAAGUGUCUUACAAAAAAAAGUCGCAAGUAGAGCGUUGAGCUGCCUACAAAUUUUGAUCAGUUUGGUUUCACCGGCUGAGCCCUCACAGAACACCGACAUGAAGUAACAGCGACCGCUGAUGCUGUCCGUUUUGUUCGGAUCCUCGGUUCACUUCAGCUUGCUGUAUAUGAUUUGUGUACCCGUUCUCAGUAUAAUUGGUGCCACUGCAUUCAUAUUUUGCGUACCAUUCUGCAUAAAAGGCUUCUUCGAGAAAAAGUGUGUCUGUCCGUCUGUACCCAUCUGUCCUGAGUGUGGUGUGCCAUAUUGACAGCAUGAGAAGAAGAACGAUUUGAAGCAAAGACGCAAAUAUAUUUUACAAAAUGAUAUGCAUGAGUUGUGCUACAGCUAUAGUGGCAGCAGGUGUUAUAGUAGGCGGUCCUAUUCUAUGUGAAAAACUUCUGAGAUGUGCAUUUAGUUCGAAGAAGAAAGCUAACUAAGUUGUGUAUGUACGUUGCUGAAGCGAAAGGAAGCUCUGAUGCACUCUGUAACUUAAUCAAAACCGAGGCCACUGCUGCUAUCCCAAAAUAAAACCUUUUCUUGAUAGUCAAAAAUUCAAUAGUAAUCUCUUAAAAUGGUACAUUUUUGUUACUUAUCUUUCAUGACCGGAAUAGCAGUAAUAACUGCACUAUUACUAUGUAGUAAGCUAUUGAAACAUGAUCACAAAAAUAUCCCUGAGGAAGUUAAAGUCAAACCGCAGUGGAAUAGUAGAUUAAAACAGCAAUUUAAAUUUAAACAAAUGCCUCAUUGAUUUAAUAAUAAAAAAAUUUAAAGUU